CCUACGGGAGGCAGCAGUGAGGAAUAUUGGUCAAUGGCCGGAAGGCUGAACCAGCCAUGCCGCGUGAAGGUCAGUGCCCUAUGGGCGUUAAACUUCUUUUGUGCGGGAGCAAUAAUGGUCACGUGUGGCCAGACGAGAGUACCGUACGAAUAAGCAUCGGCUAACUCCGUACCAGCAGCCGCGGUAAUACGGGGGAUGCAAGCGUUAUCCGGGUUUAUUGGGUUUAACGGGUGCGUAGGCUGUGAGGUAAGUCAGCGGUGAAAUGCCCCCGCUCAACGGGGUGAAGUGCCAUUGAUACUGCCUGGCUGGAAUGCGGAUGCGGUGGGAGGAAUGUGUGGUGUAGCGGUGAAAUGCAUAGAUAUCACACAGAACACCGAUUGCGAAGGCAUCUCACGAAUCCGCGAUUGACGCUGAUGCACGAAAGCGUGGGUAUCAAACAGGAUUAGAUACCCCUGUAGUC
This 460-nucleotide ribosomal RNA is filed under the name uncultured bacterium. RNAcentral's name for it is "partial 16S ribosomal RNA". It matches the Rfam family "Bacterial small subunit ribosomal RNA", at positions 338 to 795 of the family's 1533-position model. The record is from RNAcentral.